Molecule: long non-coding RNA, 115 nt
Organism: Selaginella moellendorffii
Lineage: Eukaryota; Viridiplantae; Streptophyta; Lycopodiopsida; Selaginellales; Selaginellaceae
Exons: 3
Source: RefSeq, a predicted model, not a curated record
CAGCAGGAAUCAAGCCAGAUCCAGAUAUCGAUGCGUUUAUGAAAGCCUCAGCCAUUCAAGGCCAAAGAACAAGUAUAGUUUCCGACUAUGUUCUCAAGAUUCUGGGCCUUGACAU